UUUAUGUUCUAGCCUACCUCCCAGCAAGGCUUCUCUUGAACCAUGCUCCAGAUUGUGCAAAAAUACUGGGCUUACUUGGAGAAGUGCACUGAGGGCGUAUGAUGAAAAGUGGGGAGGAAGUGACUCAGAGCACCGGAUGAGCUGAGACAGAUGUUUGGUGAGAGGGAAGGAGUGGGAACUUGCAGAUGAGACCUAGCUCCCCUCCGUGCUGGAGUUCCAAAGUGUUGGAGUCAGCCCUUCUUUGCUUUGGUCGGGAGGCAAAUCUUGCAAGACGUUGCACUGAAAUAAGUAAUUAAGGCUCUGCUUUCUCAAUAGGAAGAUGUUUCACUUCUCUGAUUCCUUAAAGUGCUGAAAUCCCUGGUUUGAUGGAAGGAACAGGAUAUGGAGACAUUUCCAGGGUGUUUUCUUAUUUCAGCAAUAGCUGAUAUGUGACUAGGAAUCAGCCCUGCUCCUUAGACCGGAACAAACAAGGCCUGUCUGGCAUGGGGAAAUAACAGCCUACGGCUGUUAGCAAUAUAGGGCUAAGAGCACAAGUGGUACAUCAUCUGUAUGAAUCUGGAAGAGAAAGUUCUGCCAGUCCUGAAGACUGAAAAAUCAUUUCUUAACCCAUUGGCCACAAAUCAUAUGACUACAAAAGAAAUGCAUUUGCUUAGGUGGUUUUGCUCUGUAACAAUAAUGGCUAGAAUAUGACAUUUUAAAGAACUGUGUGGUUCCAGAAGCUGAGGCAGAAGUACUAUAAACAUCACUUAAUUUGGGAACUUGGCAAUACUGAGAACACUUUCAGUGAAGAAAUGAACAAGAUGGAAAAAUUCUGGUAAUUACAAUUAAAUUGGCUUUUUAUGUUUUAAUCAGGUCACAUUUUCUAAACUACAUACUGGUGAAUAUAAGUGGUGACUUGAUAUUUGCAUCUCUCCAGUGCUGGGCAAGCUUGUCUGAGCAGCAACAAGAAAGAAGCAGUAAGUUAAAAGCUCAAAAAUAGUAAUUUGUGCACUAGCAAUGACAUGUUUUCUCACACAGCUCUGUUCUUUCUUUAGAAACUGCUGCUGCAGGUAUUUAGGAUGAAAAUGCUAAAAUCCUUACGUAGAAUGAAACAGCACUAAAAUCCAGGAAAUACUGCAACUUCAAUUUUGAUGAGACAAAAGCUUCCCACUUUGGGAUUGUUUUUGAAACCUUGUGCUCUUUGAUUAUGAUAGCAAAUUAUGUCUGAAACUCUGAAAAGAGCAGCUGUUUACCCUGAUAAUAGCUAUAAAUUCUAACACUUACUAAUGAGUGUGUUACUUUUGUCAGUAAGGGUACAGCAGAAGUACAGCAGUUUUCUUCCCAAAAAAUCAUUUUGUUGAUAUAUUGUUGUGAUUCAAAUCACUGAUUAAACUGAGUACAACUUUA
Long non-coding RNA from Cygnus olor (mute swan), 1386 nucleotides. RefSeq lists it as uncharacterized. The transcript has 2 exons. The record is from RefSeq and is a predicted model, not a curated record. Lineage: Eukaryota; Metazoa; Chordata; Aves; Anseriformes; Anatidae.